UGGGGAAUCUUGCGCAAUGCGCGAAAGCGUGACGCAGCAACGCCGCGUGGGGGAAGAAGGCCUUCGGGUUGUAAACCCCUUUCAGUUGGGACGAAGCUUCGUCGGUGAAUAGCCGGCCGAAGUGACGGUACCUUCAGAAGAAGCCCCGGCUAACUACGUGCCAGCAGCCGCGGUAAUACGUAGGGGGCUAGCGUUGUCCGGAAUCAUUGGGCGUAAGAG
Molecule: ribosomal RNA, 219 nt
Filed under: uncultured bacterium
Lineage: Bacteria
Description: partial 16S ribosomal RNA
Rfam family: Bacterial small subunit ribosomal RNA
Source: RNAcentral